Gorilla gorilla gorilla (western lowland gorilla) is the source of this 117-nucleotide non-coding RNA. RefSeq annotates it as microRNA mir-519d. The transcript has a single exon. NCBI's taxonomy places the organism in Eukaryota, Metazoa, Chordata, Mammalia, Primates, Hominidae. The record is from RefSeq and is marked provisional.
CUGGAGCAAGAAGAUCCCAUGCUGUGACCCUCCAAAGGGAAGCGCUUUCUGUUUGUUUUCUCUCAAACAAAGUGCCUCCCUUUAGAGUGUUACCGUUUGGGAAAAGCCACGUUGAAG